AUGUUGACGAAGUCCUGCGGGCUGAGCUGCGACGGGCCGCCGGAGGACUCCACCCUGAACCCGGUCAGAGCCUCCAGGGCCUCCAGGCACACACCGGGGUUCGGCAUGUUGUCGUUCCUCAGAGACCGGACCGGACCAGACGGAGAGUCUGUCUGCCUGCCACUCCAACUGCCGGCUCCUCCUUUCACUUUCACUUUCACUUUCACUUUCCAUCCCGGUGUGGGGGGGGGGGGAUUUAAAUGUUUAUUCAUGACAUCCACCAAUUUACCCUCAAACUGCAGAGUACAGAGACAUUCAAACACAAAACAGCUGGUCAGACAUUCAAACACAAAACAGCUGGUCACACAUUCAAACAAAACACAAAACAGCUGGUCACACAUUCAAACACAAAACAUCUGGUCAGACAUUCAAACACAAAACAGCUGGUCACACAUUCAAACAAAACACAAAACAGCUGGUCAGACAUUCAAACACAAAACAGCUGGUCACACAUUCAAACAAAACACAAAACAGCUGGUCACACAUUCAAACAAAACACAAAACAGCUGGUCACACAUUCAAACACAAAACAGCUGGUCAGACAUUCAAACACAAAACAGCUGGUCACACAUUCAAACACAAAACAUCUGGUCACACAUUCAAACACAAAACAGCUGGUCACACAUUCAAACACAAAACAGCUGGUCACACAUUCAAACACAAAACAGCUGGUCACACAUUCAAACACAAAACAUCUGGUCACACAUUCAAACACAAAACAGCUGGUCACACAUUCAAACACAAAACAUCUGGUCACACAUUCAAACACAAAACAGCUGGUCACACAUUCAAACACAAAACAGCUGGUCACACAUUCAAACACAAAACACAAAACAGCUGGUCAGACAUUCAAACCAGAAGAGACCAGGUGGAACAGAACAGCUGUUUCGGCAGGUCCAGGUCCUGACCGUGUCCCUUCGUCCUCAGGAAAGCCAGCAGUGUGCUGCUGUCUCACGGCCCAAUCCUCCAGCUGCAGCUUCACAGAGGAAGUGUCUCUGCAUUAUUCCAGUCUGAAGCACAGGCCCCGCCCCUCUGGUCAGCCAUCCACGGGAUUGGUCAGAGCCGACGUCAUAUACUCCACCGUGAUUGGCCGCAGGAACUUGAUGGCGUCACAGCAGCACAGAUGAGAAGACUUCCUGUUUAGUUUGAGCUCCUCCUGCUGGUGAGAAAAGGAAAUGAUGUGCUUUUGUUUCCUUAAAGGGCCACUGAGUCAGUUCAAAAGAUAAAACAUCCCAUUUUUCAUGUAGCGUUCACCUUGUUUCCAGCUUCUCUCGUAUUGAUACUUGAACAUUUGAA
This 1335-nucleotide long non-coding RNA is filed under the name Echeneis naucrates (live sharksucker). Its description in RNAcentral is "lncRNA (ENSENLG00000006752.1)". The record is from RNAcentral. Lineage: Eukaryota; Metazoa; Chordata; Actinopteri; Carangiformes; Echeneidae.